UUCUUCCGAUCUGGCGGUUUCACGGUCUCUUGAACUCUCUCUCCAAAGUUCUUUUCAACUUCCCCUCGCGGUACUUGUCGGCUAUCGGACUCAUCCCCAUAUUUAGCCUUGGAUGGAGCUUACCACCCGCUUUGGGCUGCGUUCCCAAGCAACCCGACUCUCGGGCCGA
Molecule: long non-coding RNA, 169 nt
Organism: Octopus sinensis (East Asian common octopus)
Lineage: Eukaryota; Metazoa; Mollusca; Cephalopoda; Octopoda; Octopodidae
Exons: 3
Source: RefSeq, a predicted model, not a curated record